GAUGAAGAACGUAGCAAAAUGCGAUACUUGGUGUGAAUUGCAGAAUCCCGUGAACCAUCGAGUUUUUGAACGCAAGUUGCGCCCGAAGCCUUUUGGCCGAGGGCACGUCUGCCUGGGCGUCACGCAUCGCGUCGCCCCCCACAAUUCUCCGUAAAGGGAACGUGUGUUUUGGGGGCGGAUAUUGGUCUCCCGUGCUUAUGGCGUGGUUGGCCGAAAUAGGAGUCCUUUCGAUGGACGCACGAACUAGUGGUGGUCGUAAAAACCCUCGUCUUUUGUUUCGUGCUGUUGCUCGCAAGGUAAACUCUUUAAAAACCCCAAUGUGUCGUCUCUUGACGACGCUUCGACCGCGACCCCAGGUCAGGCGGGACUACCCGCUGAGUUUAAGCAUAUCAAUAAGCGGAGGA
This 404-nucleotide unclassified non-coding RNA is filed under the name soil metagenome. RNAcentral's name for it is "partial contains 5.8S ribosomal RNA, internal transcribed spacer 2, and large subunit ribosomal RNA". The stretch from base 1 to 122 matches the Rfam family "5.8S ribosomal RNA", at positions 35 to 154 of the family's 154-position model. The record is from RNAcentral.